Megalobrama amblycephala (Wuchang bream) is the source of this 732-nucleotide long non-coding RNA. RefSeq lists it as uncharacterized. The record is from RefSeq and is a predicted model, not a curated record. The transcript is spliced from 3 exons. Lineage: Eukaryota; Metazoa; Chordata; Actinopteri; Cypriniformes; Xenocyprididae.
CUCAUUUUCAUCUAAGUUUUAUAUAUAAUAUUUUUAUUUUAUAAAAUAGAAUAAGUAUGUACAUAAGUGUUAAUAAAAAAUAUGUCAGAAGUACAAUAUAUGGACAAAAGUAUUGGGACGCACCUCUUAAUUAUUAUAAUCAAGCACCUAGCCAUGCAGCCUGUAAAAAAAUGGGUAGUUCUAAAGAGCUCAGUGAAUUUGCUUGUGGUACUGUGAUAGGAUGCCACCUUUGCAGCAAGUCAGUUUCUGAAAUUUUAUCCCUGCUAGAUAUUCCAUGGUCAACUGUAAGUGUUAUUAUUGGAAAGUGGAAGCAUUUAGGAACAGCAUCAACUCAGCCAUGACGCAAAGACCACGUAAAGUCACAGAGCGGGGUUACUGAGUGCUGAGGCGCAUGUUUCUCCUUCCUGUGGGCUGACGUAUCUGCUGAGGAGGCACUUUUAGGCCGUAUCACUGAGGACUUGUAGAGAGAACAGAUGGAUCCAUCCUCACCAAUCCGAUAGGACACCUCGGAAGGGUCCACCCACAGGGUCAGCUCUAUUGGAAGUGAUGAGAAAAGCUGCUCUUGUGAGCUGCAGACAUUUAUGCAACUAUGCUUAAGCAACUAUGAUGUUGUCAUAUUGGGCUUGAGUAAAAGCAGUGCCCUAAACCGGAAAAACCUGAAAGAUGAGUAGAGAGUAAAUGAUUAUACACCUCUUAAUUCCGUUAGUUUUGCAUGCAAAUGUAUUGUAUUUA